AGAGUUUGAUCCUGGCUCAGGACGAACGCUGGCGGCGCGCCUAACACAUGCAAGUCGAACGGACUUAACCUUUAGUUUACUAAUGGAGCGGUUAGUGGCGGACUGGUGAGUAACGCGUAAGCAAUCUGCCUAUCAGAGGGGAAUAACAGUGAGAAAUCACUGCUAAUACCGCAUAAGCUGUGAGUAUCGCAUGAUACAAAUAGAAAAGGAGCAAUCCGCUGAUAGAUGAGCUUGCGUCUGAUUAGUUAGUUGGUGAGGUAACGGCUCACCAAGACGAUGAUCAGUAGCCGG
RNAcentral lists this ribosomal RNA (291 nucleotides) under uncultured bacterium. Its description in RNAcentral is "partial 16S ribosomal RNA". It matches the Rfam family "Bacterial small subunit ribosomal RNA", at positions 8 to 290 of the family's 1533-position model. The record is from RNAcentral.